Molecule: ribosomal RNA, 468 nt
Filed under: uncultured bacterium
Lineage: Bacteria
Description: bacterial LSU rRNA
Rfam family: Bacterial large subunit ribosomal RNA
Source: RNAcentral
AGGCGAUGAAGGGCGUAGUAACCUGCGAAAAGCAUGGGAAGCUGGUAAACGAGCUGUGAUCCCAUGAUACCCGAAUGGGAAACCACCUAAUUUAUUAGGUAUCGUGCACUGAAUCCAUAGGUGUACGAAGCAAACGAGGGGAACUGAAACAUCUAAGUACCCUUAGGAAAAGAAAAUCAAACGAGAUUCCCUCAGUAGCGGCGAGCGAAAGGGGACUAGCCGAGCAAUUUGAAUGAAGUGGAACGGUCUGGAAAGUCCGGCGAUACAGGGUGAUAGCCCCGUACACGAAACGCUCAAGUUGACGCAUUAAGUAGGUCGGGACACGUGUUAUCUUGACUGAAAGAUGGGGGGACCAUCCUCCAAGGCUAAAUACUCCCAGUUGACCGAUAGUGAACCAGUACCGUGAGGGAAAGGCGAAAAAGAACCCCCGGUGAGGGGGAGUGAAAUAGAACCUGAAACCGUGUGCGU